GAUGAAGAACGUAGCGAAAUGCGAUACUUGGUGUGAAUUGCAGAAUCCCGUGAACCAUCGAGUCUUUGAACGCAAGUUGCGCCCGAAGCCAUUAGGCCGAGGGCACGCCUGCCUGGGCGUCACACGUCGUUGCCCCCCCCAUCUACUCCUUCGGGAUUGCGGGGGGCGGAUGAUGGCCUCCCGUGCGCCUCGCCGCGCGGUUGGCAUAAAUGCCAAGUCCUCGGCGACGCACGCCACGACAAUCGGUGGUUGCGAAACCUCGGUUGCCCGUCGUGUGCGGUCGUCGCGCAUCGAGGGCUCGAAAAAAUUGCCGGGUUCCGGCUCGGCUUUCAACGCGACCCCAGGUCAGGCGGGGUUACCCGCUGAAUUUAAGCAUAUCAAUAAGCGGGGA
RNAcentral lists this unclassified non-coding RNA (391 nucleotides) under soil metagenome. RNAcentral describes it as "partial contains 5.8S ribosomal RNA, internal transcribed spacer 2, and large subunit ribosomal RNA". The stretch from base 1 to 122 matches the Rfam family "5.8S ribosomal RNA", at positions 35 to 154 of the family's 154-position model. The record is from RNAcentral.